RNAcentral lists this long non-coding RNA (11634 nucleotides) under Homo sapiens (human). RNAcentral describes it as "HSALNT0357566". Lineage: Eukaryota; Metazoa; Chordata; Mammalia; Primates; Hominidae. The record is from RNAcentral.
AGAUGCCAUGAGUCCAAAGGAAUCAUCCCGCCCCCAGCAGACAAGCGUGGAGCCAGCCUGCUCCUCUGGCCAAAGCAUUCCACCCCCGGACCUCUCCUCCAGGAAGAAGAGAUGUGGAAGAAGAGAUGUGGGUAUGGUGGAUUCUGACCCUUGGCUCCCCAAAGUUCCACAGAGCCCAGCUCCCACUGAAGGCAUAUGACCCAGAUCCUGAGAACCAGAUGCACCGGCCUGAGCUUUCGUCAGAAGCAAGGACACACAGAACCUUUCUUAGAGGCAUCAUUAGAGGACCGGACAUGGUGGCCAGAGGCUGCAGGGACAGAAGUCCCAGGGCCAUGUCCAGGAACUGGGCUCAGGGGACCUCCUGGUGCCACCUGCAUAUCUGAGCCCAUGGAGUUCCUCUGGUCUAUUCAGUUCUCUCAUUUUAACUUAAUUUUGUUUUUGUAGGCUUUCUUAAAAAAUUGCCCAGUUCAUUUACCUGAUCACGUUUAUUGUUCAGAGUUGAGUGUGGUUCUCUCGUAAUUAUUUAGUCUCCACUGGGUCUGUGAUUAUAUUUCCUUUCUUAUUGCUAAUGCUGUUUGUGUUUGAUUUUCUUCUUUUUUUUCUUGGCCUGACUUAAAGAGGUUUGUCUGUUUUAUCUUUAUUUUAAAAAUAACCAACUGUUUAUUUUUACUUCUCCACUGUGAUUUCCCCCUUUAUUUCUUUAAUGUUUGAGUUUAUAUUUUUUCCUAUUUAUUUUGGCUUAAAUUUUAUUAUCAUUUUGCUAUAUCCUUGUGUCAAGCGCUUAAUUCAAUUAUUUUGUUAUUUUGACUUCUAAAAAAUCAGUUAAUUCUAUAAGUUUUCCUCUAUGUACUACAUUGAGCAAACUCCACAGAUUUCUGUAGGGGGCAUACUAAUUGUAAUUCAAUUUCGUUUUCCAUGUGUAGGUCCAGAUUUAUUUGAAUGUCCAAAUACUUAGAAUUGUAGGCUCUUGUUUUGUUAUUAAAGUCUGGUUUUAUUACAUUGUGUUUAGAGAAAAUAAUAUGGAGGAUUUUAAUUUUAGAUAAAGCAUUAAUAUCUUUUUUAUCCUCAAACAUGAUCAAUUUUUGACAGUGUUCCAAAAAUAUACUAUGAAAUAUAUAUUAUCUGUUGGAAUAGAGUAAUAUAUGUACACACUCUGCCAUGUGCAUAUGUUUAUAUAUCAUAUUUAGUCAAUGGUAGUUGUGUUAGCCAAGUCCUGGAGUCAUCUCGAUUCAAGUUUGUUGAGGCAGAAUUGUCAAUUUCGUCCUCAGCUCAGCUUCAACUACUUAACAGAACCUGAUUCAUAUAGGAAUUAAGUAAAUGUUUGUUGAAUGAAAUUCAGUGUCCCCAACCUUUUUGGCACCAGGGACUGGUUUUGUUGAAGACAGUUUUUCCAUGGAUGAUGGUAGGGGAUGGUUUCAGGAUGAUUCAAGUGCAUUACCUUUAUUGUGCACUCUAUUUCUAUUAUUAUUACACUGUAAUUAAUGAAAUGAUGGUAAAACUCACAAUAAUGUAGAAAUCAGUGGGAGCUCUGAGCUUGUUUUCCUACAACUAGAUGGUCCUCUCUGGGGGUGAUGGGAGACAGUGACAGAUCACCAGGCAUUACAUUCUCAUAAGGAGUGUGCAACCUAAUAUAGAUUCCUCGCAUGCACAGACCACAAUAGGGUUCGUGCUUCUAGGAGACUCUAAUGCCACCACUGAUCUGACAGGGGGUGGAGCUCAGGUGGUAAUGUGAGCCAGGAGGAGUGGCUGUAAAUACAGAUAACACUUCGCUCACUCACUUGCCAGUCACCUCCUUCUGUGUGGCCUGGUUCCUAAUGGGCCAUGGACUGGUACUGGUUCAUGUAGCUUUGCUAAAUUUUUCUGCAUUUAAAAUAUAUUUUAUUGAGAUAUUUCUGGAACUUUUGGGUGCCUAGAUUUGUGAUGUUAUACAGUGGUGCUCAUUUUAGGAAUAUUUAUUAAAUGCUUUUGGUGUGCUGGGCACUGUGCUAAGCACUAGAAAUACAAUGGCAGAUAAAAGAAUCUAGUGGCCUCCUGCACUUUAUGAUUCAUACAUUAUAGCUACAAAACAAACAAUAAACAAGCAGAUAAAUAAGUAUUAAUUUAAAAGAAUCCCGGUUGGUGCUAUGAAGGAAACAAAUGAGCAGCCUUUUCAAGGUAUGGAGGGGAUGGGACUGUUUGUGGGACGGUCAGGAAGGUCUCCCUGGGGAGGGCGCACUGAAGCCAAGGCCAGAGGACAGGUGGCCAGCCCCAUGAAAAGCUGGGGCAGGCUUCCAGGCAAAGAGACCAUGCCUUUUGUAAAUGUGGCAUCCCCUUCUCUCAUUUAAUGUGUUACCUUGAGUUCUACGUUGGAAAUACUGCUUCUGUCUUCUUUUUGUUAGUGCUUACAUGAUCCAUAUUUAUCUACACAAUUAUACAAUCCAUACAAUUAGGUAUUAUGAUGGUUAAUUUUAUGUGUCAAUGUGGUGUGCCUAAGGGAUGCCCAGAUGGCUGGCAGUGCAUUAUAUCCGGUGUGUCUGUGUGGGUGUUUUGGAAGAGGCUGGCAUUUGAAUCGUGGACUGAAUAAGAAGACCCAUCCUCACCAGCGCAGGCAGGCAUUGUCCAAUCCAUUGAGGGCCUGAAUAGAACAAAAAGGUGGAGGAAAAGUGGAUCUACCCUCUCCUGCUUGAGUGGAGACAUCCAUCCUCUCCUGCCCUUGAGCACUGGUGCUCCUGGUUCUCAGGUUUCCCUACCCAAACCGGGACUUAGGCCAUCAGCCACCGCCUUCCCCUUUUCUCAAGCCUUAGGGCUCAGGCUGCAUGUCACCACCGGCUUCCCUGCUUCCUAGCUGACAGAUGGCAGAUUGCAGAAAUUCUCAGCCUCCACAACCACGUGAGCCACUUCCCUGAAUAAGUCUCCUCUUCAUACAGUCCUCCCUUGGUGUGGGUGGGGAUUCGUUCCAGGACCCCCGAGUAUAUCAAACUCCAUGCAUACUCAAGUCCCGCUGUCAGCCCUGCAGAACCCGUGUGUAAGGAAAGGCAGGCCUCUGCAUAAGCAGCCUUCGCUUGCUGGGAAUACUGUGUUUUCCAUCAGAGUUUGGUUGGAAAAUCUGAGUAUAAGUGGAUCCAUGCAUUGAAACCUGUGUUGUUCAAGGGACAAGCAUCGAGGAUAGGCACAGGCUACUGGAGACAAAUAUGGGAAUGUGGCUAUGGGCAAGACAGUGCUGGUGGGGCAGGCAUCACUCCAACAAGCGGACAACAGCAGGGAUCAGUGAGUUGCCAGGGGUCUGGGCAUGAGUGCUGAACAAGUUGGAGGUCUUCCUUGGAGCCGGCCUCAGGCUGGGAGAGGAUUGUGGGGCCUGAGCGGCUCCAGCCUGGAUGGGUCCAGUCAGGAACUCUGCAAGAGGAGCUCACCUGUGCACACAGGGAUGCAUACUGGGAGAGAGGAGAAGCCGGGGUCAGAGGCUCUGGCCCUCUUGCACUGCAUGUGGGGAGCUGCAACUCAGGGAGGCUGCUGGGCAAUGGUCAGUGCCAACAGAGUGGAUGCAUCACAGCCAUGAAGCUGUGGUCAUGCAGAGCACAGCAUGAGAGCCUCUGACCGAGUUGUCUGACUGGGGUUGUGGAUGGAGUUGAUGGGCACAGGGAAGAGAGGAGGAGGGGCUUGCUUAGCAGAAAAGAUACUGAGUUGAGUUGGGGGCAUGUGGAAUUUGAGGUGCCUGUGGGAGACCCAUUUGAGAUGUUCAGUAGACAAGUGGGGGCACCCAGUUGAGCACUGGAAAUGGGGCUCUGGACCCUUGAAGAGAAGCCAGCAGUUGGGUCAUUGCAUGAGAGGUGGUUGUGGUGAUGAUGGGAACUGGUAAGAUUGCUCAGGUUAAAAUGAAGAAAACAAGCCAAGGAAAAACGAUGGUCAAGGCAAAUACAGUAAGGAUCGACGGCAUCCUUGAAGUACUUCUUUGUCUCCAAGAGCAUUCAUUCUAUUUCAUGUGCAAUGAGAAUUCUAGCAUUUUAGCACUGUUUAAAAUUAAUGACUCAGAGGGAAUUCUGGCCCCACACAAGCGCCUGCUAGAUGGGUAAGCCUCGCUGCCUGCCUUUCUGAAUUGCUUGUCGCACAAUUGGGCCAUUCACUGUGUUCCGGGCCCUCUGUGUGUUUCCUCUUUUCCAGCUUAGACCUAUUUGUUAGGGAAAACAAUCUACUUCUCAGGGUUUCAGUUUUAUGUACUGUUGAUCUAUUGCUUUAUUUCUCUAAUCUCUUUCCCACAGUCAAUAGUUUUUACUACCUGGAGCUGAAAACAGCCUACAGGAUACCAAAGCGUGAGUUUAUUUAGAACAAAGAAGACCCUCUGAUUCCAGUGAGGUCAGGGAGGAGGCCAAACAGUCAACCCACUUGCUUAGGACAUGUGGCCUAAACCGUAAUUUGACUUUGCGUUCACUUUUCAACUAGUUGCAUUGGCCUUAUGGUUUUUAUUAAACUGUAAAUCUCUUUACCACAUUGAAAAUUGUGGAACGCAUUUCUUCUUCUCGAGUCUGUGCAUCUGAAGGCCAUAGGUGGACAAGUGCACAGCGCCAGUGGAAAAUGGCUUUUCUGGAAUAUCAGGUUCGGUCCUCAGAGACUAAGAGCACUCCAUGUGGUGGGCAAUAAAUCUGAAUUCUGCUGCGUUUAAUUAAGGUAAUUUUCCUACUUAGCUCCACAUGUGGAGAUGAGAUUCAAUUUUACUGUGCCUUAAAGAACAUGUCCUUUCAAACGUGUCACCAGAAUGGAAUGCGACCACAGAUCGACAUGUGACGAGCCUCUAUCGCCUCAAGGGAGAAGAACUGUGGCAGGAACGCAAUCUGUCCCGUUCUCCUGCUCCUGUGGGUUUUUCCAUUGCAUGGAUAUGGGUUGUGAGGGAAUGGAGUCCCUCUACAGAGAUAUCAGAUGCAGAUGGAGGGCAGAGCAGGGUGAGAAGUUGAGCCAGAGGAGGAGACAGAUUGUUGGAUAAUGUUUUCUUGCUAGGUACAGUGUCAGUGAAUAAAUAUUUUGAUCAUCAGAAAGACCAAGGAUCCAUAUUCCUGACUCUUUUGCAGAAUAAUUAAUAAACGUUAUGGGAAUCACCUAGUAUCUCCAUAUCAUCCAUACUGUGAGGGUUGAUUUUAUGUGUUGACCAGGUUAAGGAUGCAGACAGCUGGUCAGACAUUAUUUCUGGGUGUGCUCGUGAGUGUGUUUCCAGAAGAGAUGAGCUUUUGAAUCAGUGGACUGAGUAAGAAGGUCCGCCCUCACCCAUGUGAUUGGGCACCAUGCAAUCUGUUGAGGGCCCAAAAAGAACCGAAAGGCAGAAGGGAAAAUUCUCUCUUUCUCUCCUUGGGCUGGGUUGCCCCUUUUCUCCUGCCUGCAGACACAAGCACUUUUGGUUCUCAGGCCUGCAGACUCAGACUUGAACCUACACUGUUGGCUUUCUUGAUUCUCAGGCCUUCAGGUUUGGGCUGAAUCACACCACUGGCUUUCCUGGGCUCCAGGGUGUCGAUGGCAGAUCGUGGGGUCUCUCAGCCUCCACAAUCCCAUCAGCCAAUUCCCAUAAUCAAUCUCUUUUUAUCUAUAUCUAUAUAUAGAUAUCUCUCUCUCUAUCUUAUUAUUCUGUUUCUCUGGAGAAUGCUAAUACAGAGUUCUUGAAAAGACUCUGAAAACAACCACAUCACCACCAAGGGAACAUGGAGCCUCCUGGGUCACGAGAGGCCUGAGAGGCAUGGUGGACGUGCCUGAGUUUCCUCUACAGGGUUCUUGUUAAGAGGUGGCCCAACCCAUGCUUGGCCACGUUGAGAAAAAGGAAACGCAUCCUCCCAAAGGAAGGCCCGUUCCACUGCUGGAGAAUUCAGGCUACUGAAAGCUUCUUGCUUAUGUGAUUUUGCCCAAUUCCGUUUCCGAGUCUGUCCCUUUUGUUCUAGUCCCUUCUUUUAGAGGAACAUGGAGCAAUAACAAUGACUCUUACCGAGGCCAAUUCUCUAUUAGGCUCCAGGCAGCCAAGGUGACAAAGGAUGUGUAUCCUCAUCCUUCAGAAGGUGAUAGUUGAGAGGAGCGUGGGAGAAAACCAUAAGCCCCCCAAGGUUAGGGUCACAUCUAUUCAUCUGUAUUUUGGUGACUAGCAGAGCACCUGGCAAAAAGUAGACUCUUCAGAUAGUUUUGAGAGGCCCGGGAAACACAAGAACUACAUUACCCUUCUCUAGUUACUCUUCUAUCCUGUUGUCAAACUUGGCCUCACCAGUGAAAACCUGCCUCACCUUGGUGGCUACUCCAGCUAAGCUCCUGCUUCCUGCCCUCACAGCUGGCUUACAGCAUCAAGCCCCAUGGGAUGAGUGCUCCAUCCUGACUGCCAUGUCUGCACUGUGUCUGCACAGUGUCUGUGAGGCCCCAUCUGUCAUGACCCGAUGCUGGCCAGCCUGGCCUGGGCAGAGCUCCGAGGAGCAUGUGAGUGCUUGAACACAUGCACAAUGCAACCCCCACCAUGGAGUCUAUGCUUCUUGGAUGCUCACUCCACGAGGUGAGGGGCAUGGGAUAGUUGUCUCUGCUCUGUGUGAACUCAGUCUGGCCUGGUAGAUAACACAGACAUGCAAGGCAACUGUGGUAAGUGACAGAGAAGCUGCCAGUUGGCCCUGUAGUUGAGAGGAAGAGUAAUGUGCAGUGUCAGCGUGCUGUCCAAGGAGUUCUUGGCAUGGCUGGAGGCACUUCACACCUGAAGAUGGCUGGUCAGACCACUGGAACAUCCCUCGUUAGGCACCAUGUGUCAGAAGCCUCAUUAGUGUAUCAAGGAAUGCUCAGGCUUCCUGGAGGAUUCAUCCAUUCACAGUUGCUAAAAGGAAGCCUACCGUGUGCUAGAUGGGGCUGGACCAGGCCCUCCACCUUUGUGACCUUGUCCUGCUGUUUAAGGAGUCCAGUGCAUUCUGCAUUGGCGAUUACCUAGUUAGGGUGACCAGAGUGAGCAAAUAAAACACAAGAUGCCCAGUUAAAUUUGAAUUUUAGAUAAACAGUAAAUUUUUCAGUUGUACUACACAAAGGAACAUAUUAAAAUUCUUUGCUGUGGAGGCAAAUAUAAAACUAGGUAGAAUAGGCAAGGUGUGGUGGCUCAUGCUUGUAAUCCCAACAUUUGGGAGGUCGAGGUGGGAGGAUGGUUUGAGUCCAGGAGUUUGAGAGCAGCCUUGGCAACAUAGACCCCAUAUCUACAAAAAAAAUUAGCUGGUGUGGUGGCAUGCCCCUGUAGUCCCAGCUACUCAAGAGGCUGAGUCAGGAGGAUUGUUUGAGCCCAGGAGGUGGAGGCUGCAGUGUGCUGUGAUCAUGCCACUGCACUCUAGCCUAUGUGGCAAAGCAAGACCAUGUCUCAAAAAAAAAAAAAAAAAAGAAAGAAAAAGAAUAAGAAAAUAGGAUGUAAGAAGGAAGAGAGAGAGAAGUCACAGUUACCAUUGCUAGUGGGAGGUGACUAGGUAGAAAACUCCAGGUUGGCUAACCUCCCUUCAGCUUUGCCAAGAGACCAGUCUAUGCCAUGGCCAGUGAUGGACCCAGCCCAAGGUGCACACAGGUGAUUGGGUUGGGGAGAGUGUGGAAGACCAAGUCUGGUUUUCCUUCCCUUCAGAACCCACUACAGAAAUGAACAGUGGGGGACUCCAGUUCUCACCCUGGAGCCAAGAUGGCAAGGUGACAGCAUGUCAUAACAGCUGUUCAGAGCUAGGACUCAGGGAUCAAGCUGAGCUGCACACCAACUGGGGUGCUGUGGGCGAGCAAUCCCUUAUUAUAUCUAAGGCAGAUAAGAGAAGGAGUUAACCCCUAAGGAUCUUGUAAGGAUUAAAUUAGUUAAUGUAGGGAAAGGUGUUAGUUAAAUUCCUGGUCCAUAGUAUCUAUUUUAUUUUAAUUCCUAAGAAAAUAUAGUAUCUCUGUGUCUGCUUCAUCGACCAGACUGUAUUGCAGAUGGUUUAAGACCAGGCAGCAAAUUUGAGGUGGAGUCAUGGUUAUCAGAAUGGCUGCCCAGACCACAAAGCUGAUUUAUCUCAAUCAUAACAGCAGCAAAUUCCUGUUAUUGUAGUGAAUCACAGCAUGUAAGCGCACAGAUGCAGGCGCCGGGGUUCAGAGGGCUGGGUUGUGUGGGGAGGGUAACGAAAAACAGACACUUGCAGGGCCCUAACAAUGUGUGUAGCAACUGAACCUGCAGCCUGCUUACACAAAACAGGCCUUAAUGAAACUCAGUUUCAAAAUGGAAUAUUUUUCCUAAAUGAUAAGGUAUUGCAUAUGGUUCUUUUCCCAUUGUGUAGUAAUUCCUUCUAAAGCAAACAUUUUAAAGAUUUUAACUGAGGUUGGAAAACUAAAACUUGCCUCAGUAUAAAAAUGUCGAAGCCAUCUGCUAGAAAAUCACAGCUCUGCGAUAUAAAACACCCAGAGCUGUGUUGCUCAAACUAAUUUAAUCACAAAAUACCAUUUCCUUGAUCCGAAGGGAAACAUUUCUACUUGGCCACUAGAGCUUUCUGGAGAAAGGCACUUAUAUUUGCAGUAAGGUAUAUUAGUAAUUUUGAAUUUCAAAGAGAAAACAGAGCAGGGAUUUUGGAAAACAUAUGUUGAAAGGGUAAUUUCAAUUCUUUGCAGAUGAGAAAAGUUUUUGUUAAAACAACUGACAGACACUGAGAAACAUGGCCAUCAGUUUGAAGGAAAGUAAUUGAGUUGUGCAGUUUGCAUUUUAUUUUGCACACGUUUAACAAUUAAAAGCUUUUCUGUACUAUGAGAACAAAACCCCCCAAACACCAAUGCAAUGGCAGAAAGUUGGGAGUCAAAUCAGGCAGCACACACACGAACACUGUGUUCACAUGAUGAGGACCACAUUUUUGAGACAUUUUCUGAAAAGAACCUGUAUAUGUGUGUGUGUGUAUGUAUAUAUUCUUUUUUCCUGCCAGAAUCUCUUGUUGAAUGAUCAUCAAGUUAGUUCUGGAAAAUAGGUUCCAAUAUUGCUCCAUUCAUUGGCAUAGGUUGACUUUAUCUUAUUCCAAUUUAAUUGGCAGCUGUUUUCUUAGAUAGUUUUGCAUAAAAUGGUGCUCAGAGAACAAGUAGAGUUUUAAACAUGACACAGUCGUGUAUUUGAGGAUGUUUAUGUUAUAUAUGUGCUUGUUAAUUUAGUAGUUAUGAGUUUAAUAAUAACUUUGAGCUCUUUAGACAUGGAUCCUCAUAUAUAUUAACAAAAUCAGCUGUGUGCCUUAACCAACAGUGAGCAUAUUUUUUAAAAUGGGCCUCUGAAUUGAAAAUUUAAAAAAACCCUUCAGCAUCCUAUUAGGAUUGAUUAACCCACAGGAGGGUAAUCCUGGUAAGCAAACGUAACCAAGAUUCUCCUUCCCCAGUGAUUCCAAGUGCAGCCUGGCUCUCCUGGUCAGGUGCUUCCUUUACUCAAUAUUUCCUGAUCUGUUCCUAGAUCCUAAUACCACCCUCUGCGUCAACCUGUGAAUGCAUCCUCACUACCAGGGCUCAGGACUUGGAGCCGGGAUUUUGCUGACAUGGUCUUUUCUCUGGUUGUCACCUUCCAUUUCUUCUUUGGUUUGCCUUUCAUUUUAAUGCCAGAUUUUCUAAGUGUAAGAAAGGAGGGUGGAGAGUGGGCAGAAGUCAUUGUUUCCAUCAUGAAAGUCAACAUCAGUAUUUCCUGUCCUGGGGACAAACCAGUGCCUCAUGUUUCUGGAAACGCUGCAGCAUUUAACUUCAAUUUUAAUCUGGAUAACGCCAAAGCUUUUCCUCAAAUUCACCCCUGGAGUCAGCUCAUAGAUGCUCUGAUUUUGUCUACCAUUGCUCCUCCUUAAUAUCUCUCGCACAGGUGCCAUUGACCUUUAGAUGGGCUGUACGGUGUGGGGUUCGGUGCCAUGGAUCUGCUUCUCCAGGGACCAGGAUCUUGAGAUCUUCAGGCUGGGUUUCCAUGGAGGCAUGGAGCUGCUUUUCCUCCUUCAUAACUGCACUCAAAACAGCCCUGUUGCUCUAGAAUGGAGACUUGGGCAACUCCUUCUGGCACAGAUUUGUUCACCUCAGGUGAAAUUCAGAUAGAAGCAAGCUGCAGGCAGUUUCACCUCUAAGUCCAUGGGUUCUCAACUGGUAACGUCCUCUUAUGGAUGUUAGCCCAUGAGGUCAAUCCUGUAGCAAUCUAAGGCUUGAGAAAAAUUAAUCUUCUGGAAAAUUCCAAGAAUACAUCUUAGGGAAACUGGCUCUACCUUUAUGACUUGGAUCACACAAGGAUAUGCUUUUCAUCUUGGACUAGAACUGAGAGCCAAUGGAUGUGUUAUCUAAAACUAUCCCAGUGUGUUCACUAUACAGAGGAAGAUUCUGAGAUUCAAGACUCAAGACUGAAGAAGAUCAUUAUUUUUAUUAUUUUAGUCUUAUGCACAAAAUGAUAUCUACUGAAUAAGCAGGUUUUUAAUAGGUGACUUAUAUAUGUUAGCAAAAAUAAACACUUUGUCUUUUAGAUCUAUUCUAGUUUUUCAGUAGCUGUAGACUUAAGUGCUAACUUUUAGCCCAUAGGAUAAGAAGAAACCAAGUCCUAAAAGUAGGCCAGCACCAGGGUUCAGGCCUCUGACUUCAAGCCAAGGGCUCAUCAUCUUGAAUUGCGCACGAAUUUUUACACAGCGCCAAAGGAAACUGCCUGUACUUACUGUUGUAGGUGCUUUGCUGGAUUCAGGAUGCAGACAAGGUCCACGCAUUGUGGUUGGAACAAUGACUAGAUCUUUACCUGGUCCACAGCCCUCCCCAGUCUGGCUGCAACCUCUCAUGAGGCUGAGCUCACCAUGAACCCCUGCUCUAGGCGUCUGCAUAGUGUUCUGUUUGUCCCCGUGACUGUCCACCUCUUCUUUGGCCUGUUGGCAUGCGCUUAUCCUCCAGACCUCAGUCCAAAGUUCAGUCCCGGAGCAGACACAACCCUGUUUGCAGAGAGCCAACAUUCUAAUUGACAGUGCGUGGUGGGAAACAGUGAACCGAGGGAAAGAGUGCCAGUGUUAGAGAGCCACAGUGCAGUGAAGAAGAGAAGGCAAGAGGAUGUGAUGCAAAAUCACAGGACCUGGCUUCCAGACCAUUCUGCUUCCAUGAGAACAUUUCAGUUGAGAACCGGAUGGCAUGAAACUUUAUUGAAGUAUCAGAGAAUCAUUUUCUUAAGAGAUGGUAAUGGAAUCCAUGCAUUUGAAAUAAAUCAACAGAAAAAAAUGAUUCAGAAGAGAGGGAACUAGCCUAAGGACAACUGUGAUAUUGUGAAAUAUAUAUAUGGGUCUUCAUCCUGUGUCCUGGCAUACCUAAAACCCUUGGAAUAUCCAAAGGCAUGCUUUUCAUGUGCAAAUGAUUGACUGAUGUCUUCAGGAUGGAGCCAAUCACCAGAAAUGUCAAAGCAUAAUUAGAGUGUUGGGACUUUCAGCCAUACCCCACACCCCUGACCUUUGGGGAGGAGAGACGGGCAGAAGGUUAAGUCCAUCAACAAUGGCCAGUGAUGUAAUCAGUCAUGCCUAUGUAAUGAAGCUUCCAUAAAAAUCCCAAAGGACUGGGUCUGGAGAGCUUCUGGAUAUCUGAGCACAUGGAGGUUCCUGGAGGGUGGUGCCUGGGGCAGUCAUGGAAGCAUCUCAUCCCUUCCCACAUGCCUUGCCCUAUGCAUCUCUUCAUCUGUAUCCUUUAAAAUAUCUUUGUAAUAAACUGCUA